GAAAGCGUGGGUAGCGANCAGGAUUAGAUACCCUGGUAGUNCACGCCGUAAACGAUGAGUGCUAGGUGUUAGGCCCUUUCCGGGGCUUAGUGCCGGAGCUAACGCAAUAAGCACUCCGCCUGGGGAGUACGACCGCAAGGUUGAAACUCAAAGGAAUUGACGGGGGCCCGCACAAGCGGUGGAGCAUGUGGUUUAAUUCGAAGCAACGCGAAGAACCUUACCAGGUCUUGACAUCCCGAUGCUAUUCUUAGAGAUAGGAAGUUACUUCGGUACAUCGGAGACAGGUGGUGCAUGGUUGUCGUCAGCUCGUGUCGUGAGAUGUUGGGUUAAGUCCCGCAACGAGCGCAACCCUUAUUGUUAGUUGCCAUCAUUAAGUUGGGCACUCUAGCGAGACUGCCGGUAAUAAACCGGAGGAAGGUGGGGAUGACGUCAAAUCAUCAUGCCCCUUAUGACCUGGGCUACACACGUGCUACAAUGGUCGGUACAACGAGUUGCGAGCCGGUGACGGCAAGCUAAUCUCUGAAAGCCGAUCUCAGUUCGGAUUGGAGGCUGCAACUCGCCUCCAUGAAGUCGGAAUCGCUAGUAAUCGCGGAUCGGCACGCCGCGGUGAAUACGUUCCCGGGCCUUGUACACACCGCCCGUCACACCACGAGAGUUUGUAACACCCGAAGUCGGUGAGGUANCCUUUUAGGGGCCAGCC
Molecule: ribosomal RNA, 700 nt
Filed under: uncultured bacterium
Lineage: Bacteria
Description: bacterial SSU rRNA
Rfam family: Bacterial small subunit ribosomal RNA
Source: RNAcentral